ACCCAGAUGACGAGUCCCGAAUGGGACGAAACGCGUGACUUGGAU
This 45-nucleotide non-coding RNA is filed under the name Schistosoma margrebowiei. The record is from RNAcentral. Lineage: Eukaryota; Metazoa; Platyhelminthes; Trematoda; Strigeidida; Schistosomatidae.